RNAcentral lists this ribosomal RNA (468 nucleotides) under uncultured bacterium. RNAcentral's name for it is "partial 16S ribosomal RNA". It matches the Rfam family "Bacterial small subunit ribosomal RNA", at positions 28 to 507 of the family's 1533-position model. The record is from RNAcentral.
GACGAACGCUGGCGGCGUGCUUAACACAUGCAAGUCGUACGGAAAGGCCCUGCUUUUGUGGGGUGCUCGAGUGGCGAACGGGUGAGUAACACGUGAGUAACCUGCCCUUGACUUUGGGAUAACUUCAGGAAACUGGGGCUAAUACCGGAUAGGAGCUCCUGCUGCAUGGUGGGGGUUGGAAAGUUUCGGCGGUUGGGGAUGGACUCGCGGCUUAUCAGCUUGUUGGUGGGGUAGUGGCUUACCAAGGCUUUGACGGGUAGCCGGCCUGAGAGGGUGACCGGCCACAUUGGGACUGAGAUACGGCCCAGACUCCUACGGGAGGCAGCAGUGGGGAAUAUUGCACAAUGGGCGGAAGCCUGAUGCAGCAACGCCGCGUGCGGGAUGACGACCUUCGGGUUGUAAACCGCUUUCGCCUGUGACGAAGCGUGAGUGACGGUAAUGGGUAAAGAAGCACCGGCUAACUACGUG